Molecule: small RNA, 66 nt
Filed under: Acididesulfobacillus acetoxydans
Lineage: Bacteria; Bacillati; Bacillota; Clostridia; Eubacteriales; Peptococcaceae
Description: Peptococcaceae bacterium INE non-coding RNA
Source: RNAcentral
GUUUCAAUUCCUCAUAGGCAGGCUAUCGGCGGGGUUAUGAAUCUGGGGAGGGACUGUUAACAUGGG